GACGAACGCUGGCGGCGUGCUUAACACAUGCAAGUCGAACGGAAAGGCCCUGCUUGCAGGGUACUCGAGUGGCGAACGGGUGAGUAACACGUGGGUGAUCUGCCCUGCACUUCGGGAUAAGCCUGGGAAACUGGGUCUAAUACCGGAUAGGAGCCAUUUUGAGUGUGAUGGUUGGAAAGUUUUUUCGGUGUAGGAUGAGCUCGCGGCCUAUCAGCUUGUUGGUGGGGUAAUGGCCUACCAAGGCGGCGACGGGUAGCCGGCCUGAGAGGGUGGACGGCCACAUUGGGACUGAGAUACGGCCCAGACUCCUACGGGGGGCAGCAGUGGGGAAUAUUGCACAAUGGGCGCAAGCCUGAUGCAGCGACGCCGCGUGGGGGAUGACGGCCUUCGGGUUGUAAACUCCUUUCGCUAGGGACGAAGCUUUUUGUGACGGUACCUAGAUAAGAAGCACCGGCUAACUACGUG
This 465-nucleotide ribosomal RNA is filed under the name uncultured bacterium. RNAcentral's name for it is "partial 16S ribosomal RNA". It matches the Rfam family "Bacterial small subunit ribosomal RNA", at positions 28 to 507 of the family's 1533-position model. The record is from RNAcentral.